RNAcentral lists this ribosomal RNA (465 nucleotides) under uncultured bacterium. Its description in RNAcentral is "partial 16S ribosomal RNA". It matches the Rfam family "Bacterial small subunit ribosomal RNA", at positions 338 to 795 of the family's 1533-position model. The record is from RNAcentral.
CCUACGGGUGGCAGCAGUGGGGAAUAUUGCGCAAUGGGCGAAAGCCUGACGCAGCGACGCCGCGUGAGGGAUGAAGGUCUUCGGAUCGUAAACCUCUGUCAGCAGGGAAGAACGGUCACUGUGCUAAUCAGCAGUGAAUUGACGGUACCUGCAAAGGAAGCACCGGCUAACUCCGUGCCAGCAGCCGCGGUAAUACGGAGGGUGCGAGCGUUAAUCGGAAUUACUGGGCGUAAGGCGCUCGUAGGCGGUAUGUCAAGUCAAGGGUGAAAUCCCCGCGCUGAACGUGGGAACUGCCUUUGAAACUGGCAAACUGGAGUGUGUGAGAGGAUAGUGGAAUUACAGGUGUAGGAGUGAAAGCCGUAGAUAUCUGGAGGAACAUCAGUGGCGAAGGCGACUAUCUGGCACAUAACUGACGCUGAGGAGCGAAAGCGUGGGUAGCAAACAGGAUUAGAUACCCGAGUAGUC